This 300-nucleotide ribosomal RNA is filed under the name uncultured Bacillus sp. RNAcentral's name for it is "bacterial SSU rRNA". It matches the Rfam family "Bacterial small subunit ribosomal RNA", at positions 496 to 795 of the family's 1533-position model. The record is from RNAcentral. Lineage: Bacteria; Bacillati; Bacillota; Bacilli; Caryophanales; Bacillaceae.
GGAACAUGGGUGCCAGCAGCGGGGGAAAAUCGGAGGGGGCUAGGGGAGUGCGGAAUGUCUGGGCGGAAGGCGGGGGUAGGCGGCCAUGCAAGUGAGGCGUGAAAGGCCUGGGCUCAACCUGGGAACUGCGCUUCAGACUGCACGGCUUGAGUCCGGGAGAGGGUGGUGGAAUUCCCAGUGUAGAGGUGAAAUUCGUAGAUAUUGGGAGGAACACCAGUGGCGAAGGCGGCCACCUGGCCCGGUACUGACGCUCAAGUGCGAAAGCGUGGGGAGCAAACAGGAUUAGAUACCCUUGUAGUC